CAUUAAAUAAAGAUAUGUCCAUAGGUAGUCAUAAGAGGAUCAUAAGACAUGUCCUAAGAUAUAUCUUAUGACAGGUCUUAGGAAUGCUUCGUAAUACCGACCCCUGGACAUUACAGUAUCAAAAAAGGAGAAAACACACUAACAUGAAGGAAUAAUACAAAAGUUAUGAAUAUGUUAUUGAGGUCAAUAUCAUCUGUUGCGAUAAUAGAAAAAUAUCCUUAUUUUUCGAUUUUGUACAAGUUAAAACCAUUUUUAAGCAAUAUUUU
This 266-nucleotide long non-coding RNA is filed under the name Mytilus galloprovincialis (Mediterranean mussel). The record is from RNAcentral. Lineage: Eukaryota; Metazoa; Mollusca; Bivalvia; Mytilida; Mytilidae.